RNAcentral lists this long non-coding RNA (6704 nucleotides) under Gossypium barbadense (sea-island cotton). Its description in RNAcentral is "long non-coding RNA (GBAR_LNC001166)". Lineage: Eukaryota; Viridiplantae; Streptophyta; Magnoliopsida; Malvales; Malvaceae. The record is from RNAcentral.
UUUACCAGACUAUAAAGGCAAAUUGAAGCAAUUUUAGCUGCUCUUUCUUGGUUUACUUUUUCUUCUCGUUCUCCUUGUUGGAGGCUGUUUAGGUGCCACUGAUUGCUCCUCUCCUUUAGUCAUGCCUCCCAUGGAAGCUGAUGAAGCCUCUGCCUUUGGCUCUGCUUUUGGUUGUGGCUUUUGUUUCUUCAGUUUCAGUCUUCAUUCAACGACCCAAAAGUAAACCAUCACUAUCAAAUCUUUUAUGACUUGAUUUUACUUUACUAUGUUUUUUCUUUCAUGUUUGAAGCUUUCUGUUUAUUGAAUACUGUUGAUACCGUGUAUCAGUAGAGGUUAAGAUGGAGAGGAACCUCCAUUCAAACGAAAUGCCUAAGAUUACUUAAACUACGGGUAUGUUGAGUCAGAUCCCGAAUUGGGUUAUUAUAUAUUUUAUUAUAAUUAUAUAACAAAUCUAAAAAUAAUUCAUUCAAAUAUGCCCCUAGGUGUAUUCUUUUUUGUUCAACACCUUAAAGCAAGUAGACCUAAAUCUUUGACCAAUAUCAAGAUUCUGGAAACCUCACUAAUACAGAUCUCUUUUCCUCUAAUUCCCUUUUAUUCUAUUUGUAAAGAAUAAACAAAGCUAAAAAAGCCAUUAAAUUUAUAUUACCUUUUCUUUAUCUACCAACCCUAUCCACCCAUCCCAAUAUAUGCUUUUCUUUUUCAGCAAAAGACUAGACAAGCAGGAGAAAACAUGGUCUAAACCUAACCCUUUUCCUCAUAAAUUCUCUUUUUAUUUUGUUUAACAUAGAUAGUUCAAUAACUAAGAAAAUGAAGCAACAAUAGGUGGCUAUAUUAACCAUGGGUAAAACGAUUAGAAUUGUUUGUGUACAGUCUUUUUUUUCCUUUUUUGGCAAGAAGAAUUGUUUCUCUCUUAUAUAACCAACAAUAUGAAAACAUUAGUGUUGUUUGAAUCGACCCAAAUUAGUGGAUCAAUUUAGUUAGACUGAAAAUCAAUUUGAAAAAUGAAUUUAAAUUGAUUAGACUGAAAAUCGAUACGAACCAAUUGAAUUCACUAAAAAUCUGUUGAACUAGCAAUUGAAUCAGUUAAAUCAGCAGGCUUAAAUGCUUUUUUUUUUUAAAUUUGAGGGAUUUUUUUAUUCAUUUUAAAAGUUCAAGUACCCAAUUGAGUGCAAAAAAAAAAGCAAGGACUUAAUUGCUUCUUUUGAAAAAAUUUGAGGGUCUUUUUGAUGCAUUUUGAAAGUUCAAGUAUCAAAUUGAGUGAAAAAAAAAAACAAAAGCUUAACUGAUUUUUUUUAAAAUUUCAAAUUUUUUACACCCUUAAGCCUAAAAUUAUGCAAACAACAAAUCUAAGGAAGUCGAUGAUUCCUAGUGUUCACUUCCAUGUAUCCUCAAAGUUUGCUUUAGUGCUUCCAUACUAAAACUUUGUGAAAUGGAUGUGUAUACACAAAUUUUGAGUUGAAAGUUGAUUUGAAAAUUUGAAAUCAAAUUUUAUUGAUAACUUUGAAAAGAAAGUUACCAUCUUUGAAAUUUUCUCAAAUACAACAAAAUCUUCCUUUAUUCUUCUCUUCAAUUUGAGCUUUAAUCCAAUGAUCGUCUAACUUAAUCUUAGAUGGAUAUUGAUUGCUUCAAUUGUCGUGUUGACUUCCUCUUGAAACAAGUUUGAACCUCCUUAUUUCAAAAAAUUUCUAAUAGAAUUUAACUGCUUCAUUUGAUUGUUCUAGAAUAAUUUAAACUCUUUUAUUUAUUUAUUAAAUUUAAUAAAAGAUAAAAUAAUCAUUUAAUAUUAGUAUUUAAUUAUUUUAUUUUAAAUUAGUGAUAGUAUAAAUUUUUAUUAUUUUUCUCUAAAUUAAUUUAAAUUAAUCAGAGAAAAAUAACUAUAAUUUCAUAUUUUUUUAUUAUGAUAAUUCUAAUUUUACCUACGAUAAUUUCAACUCGACAUGUCAUGCCUUGUAACUGAUUAAAAGAAACCAAUUAAUUUUUCUUCAAACCCACAUGAAAAUAGACCCUUAACUCUAACCAGUAGGUCUCAUAGACCACCAAGUGAUUUUCGUUAGUCCCGGAACCUUUUAAAGCACCAAGAAACUUCUAAAUGUCGCGAUUGCAAACCCUAACCUUCAGACAUUAGCUUCUAACCCAAACCCUAAAUAUUAGUCGAAACAUUUGAUUAAUGCCCACCAAAUUAUUUUCCCCCACCCGUAUUCAAUAUUUAAUCUCUUGUAAUCAAAAUCUUAACUUCAACAGAAAGUGACCCGGACAUUCCUAACUCAUAUGGCUUUAGUAAGUAUUGACUUUCUCAAGUAUUGCAUCAAUCGAGUACACAUGCAUCCUCUAGAUUAACCUUAACUAGAAUUUAAGGUUUAUGAUAAACCUUAUUUAUGAUUAGUUUAGAACAUUUCUCCAUAGCCAAACAAUGCCUCAACACUUCCAGAAGAUCAUGGUCACAAAAAAAAAAAAAAAGAAUUAGGAGAAGUCAAAUUACGGUUGAAGUUAGAGUUAGGUUGAAAUCCUUAACCCAACAAGGAAUUGUGGCUUGAAUAGGUUAGAGGAAAAUAAUUUGACAAGUAUUUAAAAAAAAAAUUCAGUCUAAGGUUGAAGGUUUAGGAAAACGUUAGGAUUUAGGGUUUGAAUGAUUUUUAUUUAGAGUUAAUGGAUUUAGUAAAAGGAUUGAGGUUUAAUUAUUAUUUACAAGGUAAACUGAUCAAGACAUCUACGAGUGUUGAGAUCAUUGCAUUACCUUUUGAAACAUAUAAGAAUUAUCAGAAUUAAAAUAUGUCAAAUAACUUCCGAAAAGAAGCAUGACGUCAACACUCAAAGGUGUCGUUGUUCGACCUAAAAAUUCUAACUCUAAUUUCGUAUCCCUAAAUGCAAACUAAACCUUGACACAAUGGGUAUUGAAGUCGUGGUUAGUUUUUUCUAUAACUUCAAACAUUGUCUCUCAUUUUCUUUCAAUUUAUUGAAAUUCAAAACUCAAUCCAAAAAAUUAAACCUUAAAUUUAAAUGUUAUCAUUUAUGAUUUGAGAAUUAGGGUUCAAAUUCCUUGCUUAAUGCUUAUGGUUCAAUGUCUUUAGAGUUUUCAGUAACACAAACAAAUAACAUGUGAAUGUUAUUUGAAUAGAAGACCACUUUCAUUAAGAUUUUAGGGUGCUUAAUUAGUUCAAAGGCUGAAAUGCCACUAAUAUGAAGAUGAUUACCUUCAUAAUAAGUUUAAUUUAUUUUUUAUUUCGUAAUUAAUAUGUAAUGGAAUUUAAAUGUGAUAUUAAUGGAAUAUUUUAAAAAUAUAUAUUAAUGAUUACUUAAUUAAUUGUUAGAAAAAUAUUUGCACCGUAAAAAAUUUAUUAAGCAGCAACUUGAAGAGGUUUGAAAUUUUAUAGAAAAAUUAAUAAUAUUUUUGUCGAAUAGAGUUAAUAAGGCAACAAACAUGAUUUUUCCAUUAAAAUAAAAUUAAAAAUUUAAUAUGAGCUUUAAUUACCAUAUUGAUAAUAUUUUUUUAUUUUUUUAAACAUUUUAAAAAAGUAAUUUGUUGCAACAUUUCUUAUAAACUUAUGUAUUUUAAAAAGUAAAUAUAUUUGUUAAAAAAUGGUUAUAUCAAUUAAAAUGAAAUAUAUAUAUGAAUUUUGUAUAUGAAAUUUUUUUAUUCCUACAUAGAUUAUAUUAAUUAUAUUUCAUGUAAUUUUUUUAUUUAAUAGAAAAAAAGAUUUUAACUGAAAAUUAAUUUACUUCUUUUAUAAAUAUUAAAAUUUAAAUUAAUCAUAUAAUUAGAGUAAAAACAUAUGUUUAAAGAAACUCUCAGCUUCAAUCAUAUAAAAGAGGUACUUUGCUAUGAAUAAAUAACGUAAUAGUAUAUUUCUACCAAAAAUAGUAUAUAUUUUAGCCCCUAAAUUUAACAACACAUGUUUAUUUGGUACUAAUUUUUUUAUUGGACCCAAUUAAUAUUUAAAUUUAAAAUUUAUUAAUUAAAUUAGUACUUUUCUAGGCAUUUGGUUGAUGUAGCUAAAUUUUAUGUAGUAGUUAACAGAAUUUUGACAUGUGUCAAAAAAAAUGAUUAUGUAUAUCUUGAUUGCUGGGUUUUUAGAUUUAAUUAUAUUUAAACUUAAAAAUUAUUAAUAAUGUUGGUAUUUUUUAAUUAAAUGCUGAUACAGUUAAAUUUUAAGUUGACAGCCAAUAUAAUAUUGACAUGUGUCCUAAAAAUUAAAAAAAUUUAUUCUCUUUGAAUUUGGGCAAAGAUUUGUUUUAUAUUGAUGUGAAUUUUUAGUAAUUUUUUAUUUUUUUAUAAUUUCAAAAAUAAUGAGAAAUUUCUCAUUUUUAAUUCCAUAACCAACAUUAUAAAACCAUUUGACAAGGUUGAUUUUGAAUGUAUGUUUUUAGUAACUUUAUAUAUUUUUAUAAUUUUCAAAAAUAAUAAAAAAUAUUUUUGAAGGUAAUAAUAGAAAAAUAUUAUUUAUAAUAAAAUCAGGUGUUUUAAUUUUUUUUCUUAAAUUUUAAGAUUUUAUUCUUUUAUAUAUUUUCUUUAAGUACCUAAAAUUUAUUUUUAAAAUUAUAAAAAUAUAAAUUUACAAGAAAUAAAUAAAUAUCAACAAAUGAUUGUUCAAAUUCAUUUUGCAUGUAAAAAAAAAUAAAUAAACUUCUUUAAAUUAUUUUUUAAAAUUUUUUGAAUAUAUAUUUUAAAUUUUAAAGACACGUUAAUAUUCUUUUUGCUAUUAGCAUAAUAACUUAUAAGUAGAUAACUUAUCACUUAAUAUUGAAACUAUUAAGUUGAUUUUAUUUUUGAAAUAAAUUAUUUCCUCAUCUUAUUAAAUUUUAAAAUAUUUGAAUUAUUGUCCAAAACUAUUAAAAAAUAUCAUUAAUAAAAUUAAAAUUAUCAAAUAAUUUCCUUUUAAAAUUAAUAUUUACUAUUAUCAAACAAAGUAAUUACACUCAAUUCUUAAUUUUUAUUAAUAUAUCAAACAAGUUUAUACUUCAAAUUCAAUAUUUAAUUUUUUUUCAACUUAUCAAAUUCACCUGGUUUCGUUAUGUUUAAUAAACUGAAAAAAUAAAAUGCUAAAACCAUAAGUACUAAAAAUUAAGCAUUAAAUUUAAAUAAUAAAAUAUGUUUAAUAAUUUAUUUAAAAUUAAAUACUGAAUAUAAUUAAACUCUUUAAUAGAGAAUAAUAUAAUCUUGAAUAAAUGAGAUAAAAUAAAAAAGUUAUUAAAAUUAUUCUUUAUAUAAAAUAAAAAAGUUAUUAAAUUUAUUCUUUAUAAAGUAAUAAAUAAAUCCUUUCCAUCUAGGAUUAACACGUUUAAAACAUUAAAUUGCUUAAUUUUCAGUUGAUUGAUUUUUUUUUAAACAUUUUAUCAAACAAGUUUAGUUACCUAAAGAAAAUGUUAAUCAAGUUGGUAUUUGUAAUAAAAGAGGAUAUAUAUUUUUAUGAGCCAAUAAUUUAUAUUUGAUAAUUUUGACAUAAUAAAAUGUAACCCUACCACAAAUCUAAAUUAACUUAUAUUUAAAACUUUUGACACAUUAAAUUUUCUAGAAAUAAAAACAGAGCAAAAGUGAAACCUAUCUAUCUCGUUCCAGUUCAGCCAAACUUAAACUAGGAGAUUUGAUGAUGGUAAAACGCAUUUCUUAGUCACAAGAUGGCUGAAAGAGACAGACAUGAACUUAGUUCCACAGGUAGCAAAAAACACACCGUUAAUAUCUUCAAUUCUGCUCGCAAAUAGACCAUAAAAUGAGGUUUUAUCAAAUAAUACUCAAAUAUCCCAACACUAAUUAAUUUAAUGUCAUGAGACAGCAAAUAACGACCAUCUAAAGGACCGAAACAAAUUCCGACUGAAAAAAAAAAAACACAAGGCAAACUACCGCAACGGGGUAAACCCUUACCAUCAUACCCGUUUACGUGAAAGGGCCCCUAUUUUAUACAAAUGAUAAAAACCCAAAGGCACCUCCCAUGGCAUUAGGUUCACAUGUAAUUGUCUUGGUCUCACAAUAGUACCCACUCCCUCUAUAAUCAUAUUUAGUUAGACAUACCUGGCACCUCAUUCACCACGGUGAAACUCGACAGACUGUAUAACCGGACACAUCAAGGUGCCCCUGACCACAAACUUCGACCCCAAGUAUCAAUCAUAACCCCCGUUACCAACUGCUUGCUUUAUCCAACCAAGCUAUAAGACCUGAAAUUUCAGUAAACUAGAUCAGUAGAAUGAAAAUAACUGUCCGAGUUUGGGGUUAAAUCCAGCAAAAGGAUACAAACCUUCAACUGAAGUUGAAUCCACCAGAUGGAACCUUAACAUCAUUUCCUCCAAAAUGGAAACUUUGCUGAGUCCCAUCACCAGGAGGUAGUGUCUCUUCAUCCUCCUCCAACCAGUACGUCUCAAGAAUCUUGACUGCCUUCUCAUAGAUCUCAUUAUUGUCGUGACUCUGUAGAUUUUCAAUCUUUUCUAAUCCCUCAGCAUCUUCAAUUAACUGGGCACAAUAGUUAAACUCUCCAGCACCAGCUGCCUUCUCAGCUUCACCAACCUUCAAAAUGUUCUCCAACCCUUCUAGACAGACUGUUAUAAUUCUUGGAUCAGGGCAUGCAAGGAGAUCACACAAAGGUUUUAUGCAUCCUUGACUGACCAGGUACCUACAUGUCCACAUCAGGAGAAUGAUUUUCCAGUCAGUUCAAUAAGAAUGGAAUGAAGGAAUCAACAACAGAAAGGAGUUCAAGUUGAACAAACAUACUUGAUUU